This 377-nucleotide ribosomal RNA is filed under the name uncultured bacterium. Its description in RNAcentral is "bacterial SSU rRNA". It matches the Rfam family "Bacterial small subunit ribosomal RNA", at positions 523 to 898 of the family's 1533-position model. The record is from RNAcentral.
AUACGUAGGUGACAAGCGUUGUCCGGAUUUAUUGGGCGUAAAGCGAGCGCAGGCGGUUUAUUAAGUCUGAUGUGAAAGCCCUUGGCUCAACCAAGGAAGUGCAUCGGAAACUGGAGAACUUGAGUGCAGAAGAGGACAGUGGAACUCCAUGUGUAGCGGUGAAGUGCGUAGAUAUAUGGAAGAACACCAGUGGCGAAGGCGGCUGUCUGGUCUGUAACUGACGCUGAGGCUCGAAAGCAUGGGUAGCGAACAGGAUUAGAUACCCUGGUAGUCCAUACCGUAAACAAUGAAUGCUAAGUGUUGGAGGGUUUCCGCCCUUCAGUGCUGCAGCUAACGCAUUAAGCAUUCCGCCUGGGGAGUACGACCGCAAGGUUGAA